AUUGAACGCUGGCGGCAGGCCUAACACAUGCAAGUCGAACGGUAACAGGAAGAAGCUUGCUUCUUUGCUGACGAGUGGCGGACGGGUGAGUAAUGUCUGGGAAACUGCCUGAUGGAGGGGGAUAACUACUGGAAACGGUAGCUAUUACCGCAUAACGUCGCAAGACCAAAGAGGGGGACCUUCGGGCCUCUUGCCAUCGGAUGUGCCCAGAUGGGAUUAGCUAGUAGGUGGGGUAACGGCUCACCUAGGCGACGAUCCCUAGCUGGUCUGAGAGGAUGACCAGCCACACUGGAACUGAGACACGGUCCAGACUCCUACGGGAGGCAGCAGUGGGGAAUACUGCACAAUGGGCGCAAGCCUGAUGCAGCCAUGCCGCGUGUAUGAAGAAGGCCUUCGGGUUGUAAAGUACUUUCAGCGGGGAGGAAGGGAGUAAAGUUAAUACCUUUGCUCAUUGACGUUACCCGCAGAAGAAGCACCGGCUAACUCCGUG
RNAcentral lists this ribosomal RNA (490 nucleotides) under uncultured bacterium. RNAcentral describes it as "partial 16S ribosomal RNA". It matches the Rfam family "Bacterial small subunit ribosomal RNA", at positions 30 to 507 of the family's 1533-position model. The record is from RNAcentral.